RNAcentral lists this ribosomal RNA (253 nucleotides) under uncultured bacterium. RNAcentral's name for it is "partial 16S ribosomal RNA". It matches the Rfam family "Bacterial small subunit ribosomal RNA", at positions 524 to 776 of the family's 1533-position model. The record is from RNAcentral.
UACAGAGGGUGCGAGCGUUAAUCGGAAUUACUGGGCGUAAAGCGUGCGCAGGCGGUUUUGUAAGCCAGGUGUGAAAUCCCCGGGCUCAACCUGGGAAUGGCAUUUGGGACUGCAAGGCUGGAGUGCGGCAGAGGAGACUGGAAUUCCUGGUGUAGCAGUGAAAUGCGUAGAUAUCAGGAGGAAUACCGAUGGCGAAGGCAGGUCUCUGGGCUGACACUGACGCUCAUGCACGAAAGCGUGGGGAGCAAACAGG